This is a transfer RNA of Camelus ferus (Wild Bactrian camel), 72 nucleotides long. It matches the Rfam family "tRNA". Rfam says of the family: Transfer RNA (tRNA) molecules are approximately 80 nucleotides in length. NCBI's taxonomy places the organism in Eukaryota, Metazoa, Chordata, Mammalia, Artiodactyla, Camelidae. The record is from Rfam.
GAGACUAUAGCUCAGUGAUAGAGCACGUGUUUAGCAGGCGUGAGGUCCUGGGUUCAAUCCCCAGUACCUCCA